This 550-nucleotide long non-coding RNA is filed under the name Equus caballus (horse). RNAcentral describes it as "lncRNA (ENSECAG00000046155.1)". The record is from RNAcentral. Lineage: Eukaryota; Metazoa; Chordata; Mammalia; Perissodactyla; Equidae.
ACACAUCAUUACAAACUAUGAUUGAAGGACCACAGUUGAGAAGAGAAAGAGAGCUUAUGUGGAUCUGCAGGGGAAGAUCUCCCUGAGGAAGUGGCAUUUAAGCUGAUAUGAAGAAUGAUAUAUCAGAAGCAACAUGAGCUUUGAGUACAAAAUUGUCAUGAACAUUGGCUUGACGAAAGCAGUCCACAAGAAAUUCCUGAUACUGCCCACCAGAAGUUAUCCUGCUUUUAGUGAGCACCGUGCUUGACAAUACGAGAACCCUAACUACCUAAGUUCACCAGCCGUUCAUUGAAGAAGAUAAAGAUGAAGGCAAACACCAGCCUGGUACCACCCACCAUGAGGAAGGAAAGGCAAGUUAGGUUUCAGUAUGGCUCAGCCUGGCGACUGAAGCGACACAUGGACACUCGCCUCAAGUAGUCCACAAAGGAUAUACCUAAGAUUGCAAUGGGCCAUUCCAAACCACUCAACAAGUCAGAUAUCAAAGCUUUCAGAAAACAUUGAAAUUUUCAGCAAAAAGUGAAAGAGGAGUCAAUGUUUUGGUCAUCUACAG